UACGAAGGGGGCUAGCGUUGCUCGGAAUGACUGGGCGUAAAGGGCGCGUAGGCGGCUUUGACAGUCAGAUGUGAAAUUCCUGGGCUCAACCUAGGGGCUGCAUUUGAUACGUUGAGGCUUGAGUGGGGAAGAGGGUCGUGGAAUUCCCAGUGUAGAGGUGAAAUUCGUAGAUAUUGGGAAGAACACCGGUGGCGAAGGCGGCGACCUGGUCCUUGACUGACGCUGAGGCGCGAAAGCGUGGGGAGCAAACAGG
Molecule: ribosomal RNA, 253 nt
Filed under: uncultured bacterium
Lineage: Bacteria
Description: partial 16S ribosomal RNA
Rfam family: Bacterial small subunit ribosomal RNA
Source: RNAcentral